Molecule: ribosomal RNA, 1334 nt
Filed under: metagenome
Description: bacterial LSU rRNA
Rfam family: Bacterial large subunit ribosomal RNA
Source: RNAcentral
CCCAAAGUGAUGCGAGUCAGACUUCCCAGAAAAGCCCGAACCACGUUAAUUUCUAAUUACCUGUACCCGAAACCGACACAGGUAGGAAGGUAGAGAAUACUAAGGGGCGCGAGAUAACUCUCUCUAAGGAACUCGGCAAAAUUACCCCGUAACUUUGGGAGAAGGGGUGCCACCGCAAGGUGGUCGCAGUGAAGAGGCCCAGGCGACUGUUUACCAAAAACACAGGUCUCCGCCAAGUCGCAAGACGCAGUAUGGGGGCUGACGCCUGCCCAGUGCCGGAAGGUUAAGGAAGUUGGUUAGUUUCGACGAAGCUAGCGACCGAAGCCCCGGUGAACGGCGGCCGUAACUAUAACGGUCCUAAGGUAGCGAAAUUCCUUGUCGGGUAAGUUCCGACCCGCACGAAAGGCGUAACGAUCUGGGCACUGUCUCGGAGAGAGGCUCGGCGAAAUAGGAUUGUCUGUGAAGAUACGGACUACCUGCACCUGGACAGAAAGACCCUAUGAAGCUUUACUGUAGCUUGGAAUUGGGUUCGGGCUUCCCUUGCGCAGCAUAGGUGGGAGGCGUUGAAGUUUUCCUCGUGGGGAAAAUGGAGCCAACGGUGAGAUACCACUCUAGGGAGGCUAGAAUUCUAACUUUAACCCGUUAGCCGGGGAAAGGACCGUGCCAGGUGGGCAGUUUGACUGGGGCGGUCGCCUCCUAAAAGGUAACGGAGGCGCCCAAAGGUUCCCUCAGGUAGAAUGGAAACCUACCAAAGAGUGUAAAGGCAUAAGGGAGCUUGACUGCAAGACCAACGCGUCGAGCAGAUACGAAAGUAGGGCUUAGUGAUCCCACGGUACCGAGUGGAAGGGCCGUGGCUUACCGGAUAAAAGCUACCCCGGGGAUAACAGGCUAGUGAAGUCCAAGAGUUCACAUCGACGACUUCGCUCGGCACCUCGAUGUCGGCUCAUCGCAUCCUGGGGCUGUAUAAGGUCCCAAGGGUUGGGCUGUUCGCCCAUUAAAGCGGUACGCGAGCUGGGUUCAGACCGUCGUGAGACAGGUCGGUCUCUAUCCGCUGUGGGCGUAAGGGAUUUGAGAGGAGCUGCUCCUAGUACGAGAGGACCGGAGUGGACAGACCUCUGGUGUGCCAGUUGUCGUGCCAACGGCAUCGCUGGGUAGCUACGUCUGGCAAAGAUAACCGCUGAAAGCAUCUAAGUGGGAAACUUGCCUCAAGAUGAGAUCCCUAUAAUCCCAUUAAGGGAGUAAGACCGCAGAUAGACUAUCUGCUACAUAGGCGAUAUGUGUAAGUGCAGUAAUGUAUUGAGCUAAAUCGUACUAAUGGUCGAGUGCUGAUCCCG